AUUGAACGCUGGCGGCAUGCCUUACACAUGCAAGUCGAACGGCAGCACGGGAGCUUGCUCCUGGUGGCGAGUGGCGAACGGGUGAGUAAUACAUCGGAACGUACCCUGAAGUGGGGGAUAACGUAGCGAAAGUUACGCUAAUACCGCAUAUUCUGUGAGCAGGAAAGAGGGGGGAUCGCAAGACCUCUUGCUUUAGGAGCGGCCGAUGUCGGAUUAGCUAGUUGGUGAGGUAAAGGCUCACCAAGGCGACGAUCCGUAGCGGGUCUGAGAGGAUGAUCCGCCACACUGGGACUGAGACACGGCCCAGACUCCUACGGGAGGCAGCAGGUGGGGAAUUUUGGACAAUGGGCGCAAGCCUGAUCCAGCCAUGCCGCGUGAGUGAAGAAGGCCUUCGGUU
RNAcentral lists this ribosomal RNA (397 nucleotides) under uncultured bacterium. RNAcentral describes it as "bacterial SSU rRNA". It matches the Rfam family "Bacterial small subunit ribosomal RNA", at positions 30 to 423 of the family's 1533-position model. The record is from RNAcentral.